UCGGAGAAGACUAACAGGAUUCCCCUAGUAACUGCGAGUGAAGCGGGAAGAGCUCAAAUUUAAAAUCUGGCAGUCUCUGGCUGUCCGAGUUGUAAUUUAGAGAAGUGUUGCCCGCGCUGGACCGUAUACAAGUCCUCUGGAAUGAGGCGUCAUAGAGGGUGAGAAUCCCGUCUUUGAUACGGACUACCAGUGCUUUGUGGUGCGCUCUCGAAGAGUCGAGUUGUUUGGGAAUGCAGCUCAAAAUGGGUGGUAAAUUCCAUCUAAAGCUAAAUAUAGGCGAGAGACCGAUAGCGAACAAGUACCGUGAGGGAAAGAUGAAAAGAACUUUGGAAAGAGAGUUAAACAGUACGUGAAAUUGCUGAAAGGGAAACGCUUGAAGUCAGUCGCGUCGUUCAAGAAUCAACCUUGCUUUUGCUUGGUGUACUUUUUGUUCGACGGGUCAGCAUCAGUUUUGACCAUUGGAUAAGGGCCAAGGAAAUGUGGCAUCUUCGGAUGUGUUAUAGUCUUUGGUCGUAUACAGUGGUUGGGACUGAGGAACUCAGCACGCCGCAAGGACGGGUCUUUGACUACGUUACGUGCUUAGGAUGCUGGCAUAAUGGCUUUAAUCGACCCGUCUUGAAACACGGACCAAGGAGUCUAACAUGCCUGCGAGUGUUUGGGUGGAAAACCCGAGCGCGCAAUGAAAGUGAAAGUUGAGAUCUCUGUCAUGGAGAGCAUCGACGCCCAUACCUGAUGUUUACUGACGGAUAUGCGGUAGAGCAUGUAUGUUGGGACCCGAAAGAUGGUGAACUAUGCCUGAAUAGGGUGAAGCCAGAGGAAACUCUGGUGGAGGCUCGUAGCGAUUCUGACGUGCAAAUCGAUCGUCGAUUUGGGUAUAGGGGCGAAAGACUAAUCGAACCAUUUUUGUACUUUGGUGGUUAAGAGGCUACUGAAAAGGUUUAGCUAUGGGAAGAGUUGAGGUCUU
Molecule: ribosomal RNA, 964 nt
Filed under: Gerronema nemorale
Lineage: Eukaryota; Fungi; Basidiomycota; Agaricomycetes; Agaricales; Porotheleaceae
Description: partial large subunit ribosomal RNA
Rfam family: Eukaryotic large subunit ribosomal RNA
Source: RNAcentral